AAGCUUCUGUCCUUGUCUGAUGCAAUUUGAGCUUGCUAUAGCAAGAAAGUCUAACCUAUUCCAGUGGUCUCUUCCAUGAGACCGACUGUUAUAUAGACUUAAACAGC
Small nucleolar RNA from Herpailurus yagouaroundi (jaguarundi), 107 nucleotides. RefSeq annotates it as small nucleolar RNA SNORA28. The transcript has a single exon. Lineage: Eukaryota; Metazoa; Chordata; Mammalia; Carnivora; Felidae. The record is from RefSeq and is a predicted model, not a curated record.